AUGGCGAGCCGCCGCUCCGGCUCCCUGGGCCUCCUCGGGCGCCGGCGGAGGCUUCGGCUGCGGAGGCGCGUCGGGGCCCCGCGGCGCCCGGCCCGCCCCCCGCGCUCCGCCGCCGCCGAGCAGGAGCCCGACGCCUGGCGGGACUACGCCGCCGCCUUCGUGGCCGCGGGGCUGGUGGCUGCGCCGCCCCCGCCGGAGGAGGAGGAGCCCGAGCGGGGGGAGCGCCCGGCGCUGGCGGCCGUCGAAGCCAAGGAGAGCGGCGCGGUCCUGCUUCUCCCUCAGGGGCAGACGCUGACGUUCACGGGCAAGUGCUUCCUGACGUGCCUGUAUGGCUCUGUGCAGGUGUUUGGGUUCAACAUUGCCCAGGACCAGCCCCCUUACAGCCUCUUCUCCCCCCAUUCCCACUGCGCUCUCACCAUUGAAGCCGUGGCCUACAAGGAGCUGGAUAAGUCCAAGAAAGAGAAGAGGACAGAGGCCAAGGCCAUCCUCAAAGCACACCGGGUACCCCAAGAAGCAAGAUGCCGCCUGAUGAAGAGCUUUGCCCCCCAGUGUUCCGUGGUGUUGUUGGAGCAUCUGGAUACUCCAGGGACGAGGUUCAUUCUCAGCCACUCCUGUUUCUCCCACAUUUUCAGAGCCAAGAGAAACAAGACUCCCUCUUUCACCCCAGAAGAUGCCGUGCUGGCUUCCACGGGCGUUGGGAGGCAGGAUCCAGGGAGCGGCCUGCUUAUGUCGGACAGUGCACUUUCAGCGGUCGAGGAGCUCAUCCAGGUGUGCCAAGAGGAAGACGAGAACUGCCCAGUUAUCCUCGUUUGUGGCUCCAAAAGUGUUGGGAAGUCGACUUUUAACAGAUACCUCAUUAAUCUUUUGCUGAACCGGCUUCCCUGCAUUGAGUUCUUGGAAUGUGAUCUGGGGCAGCCUGAGUUCACACCCCCUGGCUGCGUUUCCCUCAUUAAUGUGACGGAGCCGCUUCUGGGUCCACCAUUCACUCACCAGCGCACCCCACGCAAAAUGGUCUACUUUGGGGAGACCAGCUGCGAACAAGACACCGAAAGAUACAUCGACACUCUGAAAUACGUGUUCAGUGCCUACGAGAGAGACGUGCCUCUCUUAAUCAAUACAAUGGGAUGGGUGAAAGGGGCUGGGCUGCUCCUCCUGGUUGACAUCAUCCGGCUGCUGUCACCCAGCCACCUUGUCCAGAUCAGUGCUCAGGACUUCACGGACAUGCCCACGCUUUCCCCGGAAUAUAUCCGCUGUGCCGCGGGCCUGCAUACCAGAGGCAAAGUGGCCCCCCGCUGCAAGAAUCUGGGGAGUGGGCUGGGGGACUUGGAGCCGUGCCGGGGCCAAGGAGACUCCCUCCCCCCACACAAGCUGCUGUGUGUCCAGCCACAGUUUCCAGGAGCAGGGGUUGCUGGCGAUGGGCGAACCCACAGCAGUGUCCUGCGGGAUAUGGCCGUCUUGGGCUACCUGGGCCAGUUGCAGCCCCCAGAGGUGGACCCGGUGCUUCCUUUACACAGCCUGGUGCCCUAUCAGGUGCCUUUCAACGCUGUCGCCCUCAAGGUCAUCCAUGCUGAUGUGGCUCCUGCCCAUAUCCUGUACUCUCUCAAUGCCAGCUGGGUUGGCCUCUGUCGGAUACCGGAUGAGGUCCGGGGCAAGAGUGACGGGCCCGUCGUGCUCACACAGACUCCCAUCUGUGACUGCCUGGGCUUUGGAAUUGUCAGAGGGAUAGACAUGGAUAAGAAGCGUUACUACAUUCUGACCCCUGUAGCUCCAGAGAACCUGAGACGAGUGAACUGUUUACUGAUUGGAAGUAUUCCCAUUCCAAACUGCAUCUUCCUGAACCAACAGGCUUACCCACGGUGUGCCUGUUGGAACAGAAGGAUGUUUGGGGCAUAAAAUUGAUAACUCCCAUAAAAGCCCCCUCCAGCUUCUUGGACAAAGGAGCAUACAUCAGCCGGGGAUUGAAGGGGAGAUACCGUACGUUACAUCGCAGUAUAACUAUGACAUUUCAGGCGCUGGGAAACUGAAGCUGAAAAAGCAUCUCAAGAGGAGGGAACACAACCAGCCAUGAGCUCCUUUUAAAGCCGCCUCCACGGGCACGGCUUCAGCUCAGAGGACUUGGCACGUUCUCAGGAGAGAGCAGUUUCAGUAUUCACGGCCGCUGGCGUCAUGCUGAUCCGCCCCCGCGUCUUUUGUUAUGGUGUGUGUUUUCCCCUUUCUGAUUUGGACAUUAAACAUUUUGGCAUAAAACUCC
Molecule: RNA transcript, 2251 nt
Organism: Hemicordylus capensis (graceful crag lizard)
Lineage: Eukaryota; Metazoa; Chordata; Lepidosauria; Squamata; Cordylidae
Gene: NOL9
Gene name: nucleolar protein 9
Exons: 13
Source: RefSeq, a predicted model, not a curated record